RNAcentral lists this ribosomal RNA (253 nucleotides) under uncultured bacterium. Its description in RNAcentral is "partial 16S ribosomal RNA". It matches the Rfam family "Bacterial small subunit ribosomal RNA", at positions 524 to 776 of the family's 1533-position model. The record is from RNAcentral.
UACAGAGGGUGCAAGCGUUAAUCGGAAUGACUGGGCGUAAAGGGCGCGUAGGUGGUUGUAUAAGUUAGAUGUAAAAUCCCCGGGCUUAACCUGGGCACGUCAUUUAAUACUGUAUAACUAGAGUAGAGUAGAGGGAAGUAGAAUUUCCGGUGUAGCGGUGAAAUGCGUAGAUAUCGGAAGGAAUACCAGUGGCGAAGGCGGCUUUCUGGACUCAUACUGACACUGAGGCGCGAAAGCGUGGGGAGCAAACAGG